UUAGGAAUUUUGGGCAAUGGGCGAAAGCCUGACCCAGCAACGCCGCGUGGGUGAUGAAGGCCCUCGGGUCGUAAAGCCCUUUUCCCAGGGAAGAUAGUGACGGUACCUGGGGAAUCAGCCCCGGCUAACUACGUGCCAGCAGCCGCGGUAAUACGUAGGGGGCAAGCGUUGUCCGGAUUUAUUGGGCGUAAAGCGCUCGCAGGUGGUCCGUCGCGUCGUGCGUGAAAGCCCCCGGCUCAACUGGGGAGUGUCGUGCGAUACGGGCGGACUGGAGGCCAGUAGGGGGAUGCGGAAUUCCGGGUGUAGUGGUGGAAUGCGUAGAGAUCCGGAGGAACACCAGCGGCGAAGGCGGCAUCCUGGACUGGUCCUGACACUCAUGAGCGAAAGCGUGGGGAGCGAUC
RNAcentral lists this ribosomal RNA (401 nucleotides) under uncultured bacterium. RNAcentral's name for it is "bacterial SSU rRNA". It matches the Rfam family "Bacterial small subunit ribosomal RNA", at positions 355 to 773 of the family's 1533-position model. The record is from RNAcentral.